Eucalyptus grandis is the source of this 327-nucleotide long non-coding RNA. RefSeq lists it as uncharacterized. The transcript is spliced from 2 exons. The record is from RefSeq and is a predicted model, not a curated record. Lineage: Eukaryota; Viridiplantae; Streptophyta; Magnoliopsida; Myrtales; Myrtaceae.
GGACAGAAAACCUUAGAGCUGGGGAAAAGGAACUGGUUUGGCGCUAGAUCUGGCUGAAGGUUACCAAGGGUUGGUUCUCGGUUCUUGCCUUGGAAUUGACUCAGUCAGGCCAUGCACAGCGCUCACUCUUAGAAAGAGGAACUCUAGAGAGAAUUUUCAGUCAAUGCUCCAUUAUUAAUUCAUCCCAUGACAGACGUUUUUCAUUUUUCAUGCAAAGGGACAUAUUCUAUUGUCUAAAACCUUAUGUUUCACGUGUCUAUUAUUUGAGGAAGGGCAAAGGUGGAAAUUUUAUUUUGUAAUAAACAAUCUGCUGUCGGGUUCUUUUAA